This 576-nucleotide ribosomal RNA is filed under the name Myrionema amboinense. Its description in RNAcentral is "partial 16S ribosomal RNA". It matches the Rfam family "Bacterial large subunit ribosomal RNA", at positions 1816 to 2597 of the family's 2925-position model. The record is from RNAcentral. Lineage: Eukaryota; Phaeophyceae; Ectocarpales; Chordariaceae.
GCCCUUGAAAAAAUCAAAGGUGAUACCUGCCCAGUGAUUUUAAAAAAAAAUAAUAAUAAUAUUUUAAUAAAAUUAAAAGGAUGCGGUAACUCUAACUGUAAUAAUGUAGCAUAAUCAUUCGCCAUUUAAUUUGUGGAUAGUAUGAAUGGUAAAACGAAUAUUACUCUGUCUUAAAAAUAAAAUUCAUAAAAUUGAAAUAAUAGUGAAGAUGCUAUUUAAAAUUGUAAGACGAAAAGACCCUAUAGAGCUUAACUAUAUCUUUUAAAAUUAAAAGAAUGGUAGUUUAGUUGGGGCGACUAUUUUUUAAAAAAAACGAAAAUAAGCAAAAUUUAAUAAUUAAAAAAUUUACUGUAUAAGAAACUAUUUUAACAGUUAUAAAAAUAGGCUAUAAUGACCUGUUGUUAUUUUAUAAAAAAAAAAACAACAAUUAAUGAAUAAAAGCUACCUUAGGGAUAACAGAAUAAUUUUAUUUGAGAGACCUCAUCGAAAAUAAAGUUUAUCACCUCUAUGUUGAAUUAAGAUAUCCUAAUAAAGCAAAAAUUAUUAAAGGUAGGUCUGUUCGACCUUUAAAAUCUU